Molecule: long non-coding RNA, 1076 nt
Organism: Coregonus clupeaformis (lake whitefish)
Lineage: Eukaryota; Metazoa; Chordata; Actinopteri; Salmoniformes; Salmonidae
Exons: 2
Source: RefSeq, a predicted model, not a curated record
CACACGCACACACACAGACACACACGCACACACACACACACACACACACACACACACACACACAGAGAGGUCACUACCAGGUCUUUCUACAGUAGUUUCAUUAGUUUACAGUGUUUCUUUCUCUUUAGGUAGCAGCUUGUUUUCUACAGUUCAGCGUAGUGGAGGGGUUAGAGGUCAGGGGUUAGAGGUCAGGGGUUAGAGGUCAGGGGUUAGAGGUCAGGGGUUAGAGGUCAGGGGUUAGAGGUCAGGGGUUCUACAGUUCAGCGUAGUGGAGGUAGUUCAGCAUGAUGAGUAACUUGCCUGAGACCUGAGGACUCAGGUUACUGCCCAGAGAGAGCCUAGUCUUUAGUUCAGCGGGCUAACAUGGUCUCGUGGCGCGCAGACAAUCUAGGUUUACUCAGCAGUCGGUCACACUAGCAGGUUACACAGUUUGCUGCGCACACACACAGUUAUGAUGAGCUGUUUCCAACACUGUGCUCCGUCACGCGCAAACACACCUGUCUCCCAUGGUGCAGUGGGGCGUUAUGUCAUAAGGUGCUCCCUUACGGUAAUAUGGUUGCUAUGGGUUACUAUAGUUACUAUGGGUUAUUAUAGUUACUAUGGGUUACCAUCAGUUACUAUCUGUCAGUAUAGUGAGUGGUCUGUUGUACUGUAGGGGGAGGGGCUUGGGGCCAGGGGGUGGGAUGUUUAUUUGUUGUUUGAUGUGAUUUACUGGUGGUUAUUUGAUUGACAGGUGAUAAGUCAACGAAGGUUAUGGUCAUCUGUUGACAGUUUUAACAAGGUGGAGGCCGAGCAGGCUGUCAUACACACAGACAUGGCUCGUCUCAUGGCUGGAAUGAAGAGGAAGGACUGGUGAGGUUUCAAAAGGUGCUCAAAUGAAAUAUGACAAAUCUAUAGUUAGAAUAUAUCAGAUCUAUAGUUAGAAUAAGGUUGUCUUUCCAAUGGCUGUAUUUAGUUGUGGUAGAGAGUCAAAGGCAAAAUUAUGUACUCUUGUAUCUUGUAUGCAGAAUAACUAAAGGCAUUUUAACUUUGUACUUGAACCUGAAAUGAAUAAAGGAUUCAUGUUUUAGCCUAGA